RNAcentral lists this ribosomal RNA (467 nucleotides) under uncultured bacterium. RNAcentral's name for it is "partial 16S ribosomal RNA". It matches the Rfam family "Bacterial small subunit ribosomal RNA", at positions 28 to 507 of the family's 1533-position model. The record is from RNAcentral.
GAUGAACGCUGACAGAAUGCUUAACACAUGCAAGUCAACUUGAAUUUGGGGUUUUAACUGAGGUUUGGGUGGCGGACGGGUGAGUAACGCGUAAAGAACUUGCCUCACAGCUAGGGACAACAUUUGGAAACGAAUGCUAAUACCUAAUAUUAUGAUAAUAGGGCAUCCUAUAAUUAUGAAAGCUAUAAGCGCUGUGAGAGAGCUUUGCGUCCCAUUAGCUAGUUGGAGAGGUAACGGCUCACCAAGGCGAGGAUGGGUAGCCGGCCUGAGAGGGUGAUCGGCCACCAGGGGACUGAGACACGGCCCUUACUCCUACGGGAGGCAGCAGUGGGGAAUAUUGGACAAUGGACCGAGAGUCUGAUCCAGCAAUUCUGUGUGCACGAUGAAGUUUUUCGGAAUGUAAAGUGCUUUCAGUUGGGAAGAAACAAAUGACGGUACCAACAGAAGAAGUGACGGCUAAAUACGUG